RNAcentral lists this ribosomal RNA (744 nucleotides) under uncultured Corallina sp. RNAcentral's name for it is "bacterial SSU rRNA". It matches the Rfam family "Bacterial small subunit ribosomal RNA", at positions 26 to 770 of the family's 1533-position model. The record is from RNAcentral. Lineage: Eukaryota; Rhodophyta; Florideophyceae; Corallinales; Corallinaceae.
GGGAUAACGCUGGCGGUAUGCCUAACAGUUCAAAGUCGAACGAACACGUUUACCCCUUAGCUUACGGACGGGUGAGAUAAUACGUGAGAAUCUACUUUAGAAGGGAAUAACAAUUGGAAACGAUUGCUAAUGCCCUAUAUGCUUAGCAGUGAAACAGAUUUAUCUGCCUGAAGAUGAGCUCGCGCCUGAUUAGCUAGUUGGUAGAGUAAAAGCCUACCAAGGCAACGAUCAGUAGCUGGUUUGAGAGGACGAUCAGCCACACUGGGACUGAGACACGGCCCAGACUUCUACGGAAGGCAGCAGUGGGGAAUUUUCCGCAAUGAGCGAAAGCUUGACGGAGCAAUACCGCGUGAGGGAAGAAUGCCUGUGGGUUGUAAACCUCUUUUAUUAGGGAAGAACAUAUGACGGUACCUAAAGAAUAAGCAUCGGCUAACUCCGAUGCCAGACAGCCGCGGUAAUACGGGGGAUGCCACGCGUUAUCCGCGAACUUACUGGGCUGUAAAAGCGUCUGCAGGUGGCCUUAAAAAGUCUGAUGUAUAAAAUAUUAGAGCAUCAACUUCUGAGUAAGCAGUGGAAAACUGUUACGCCUCGACGUAUUGGUAUGGGUAAAACGGGAACUCCCCACGUGUAGCAGGUGAAAUCGCGUACGAUAAUUGGGGAAGAACAACCCAGCUCAGCCGCAAGACGCUUUCACUAAAACCAUUCACUUGGAACACUCCAGAAGACGAAACAGCUAGGGACACA